GCCUCAUUAAAACGGAGGAUGACCUCGUUAGCAACCUGAAAGAGUAGGGAAAAAUUACUUUGCUUCUUUUGUCCCCAGCUUCUCAGGGCCUUGGCAGUGGCGGACAGUUUGGCAUCGAGCGAGCAGAUAGCGUCGCCAGCAAAAUUGGCCGAGUUCCAGGCUGUCUCGACCACCUCCAAAAAUCCAGGGAUUUUUAUCCAAAAGUUCUCGAAACAGAACCGAAAAGAUCUUGGCCUCGUCGAGGAGCAGUUUCAAAAGCAGAGGACAAUGGUCAGAGAUGCUGGUGCUAAGAGCCGUCAAAUCGCUGAUCGGAUAGAUGUCUUCCCACAGGGGGUUGAACAGGACUCUAUCAAGUUUCGCCAUUAUGGGAUUUUCUUGUUCAUUGCUCCAGCCGUAUCAUAGACCAGAUUAAAAUCUCCGUUCAACAGCCAGGGAAGCUGCAUAGAGGAACCGAUAUCCAGGAGUUCAAGAAGGAACCUUUCCAUAAAGCAAUAGUCCGUUGAACCUGUGUGUAUAGCACAUCAAAUAUUUUUUUCACUCAUCAUUUUGUACCAAUUUCUGUGUGCACACUUGCUAUUGCUGUUCUAUUAUAUUCUGUAGCAAAUUCAAACGCCUUUAUGUCUAUUUAACAUUGUUCCCGGUAGGUUUAGAUUAUUGGUGAAAGAAAAUGCCUAGUUUGGUAUAGUUUGGGGGGCGAGUCGGGUCACAAGAUAAUCAGACUAAUAGUCAAAGCAAGCACAUACAAAGCUUGAUUCUAA
This is a long non-coding RNA of Brachypodium distachyon (stiff brome), 758 nucleotides long. RefSeq lists it as uncharacterized. The transcript has 2 exons. The record is from RefSeq and is a predicted model, not a curated record. Lineage: Eukaryota; Viridiplantae; Streptophyta; Magnoliopsida; Poales; Poaceae.